RNAcentral lists this long non-coding RNA (371 nucleotides) under Androctonus crassicauda. Lineage: Eukaryota; Metazoa; Arthropoda; Arachnida; Scorpiones; Buthidae. The record is from RNAcentral.
CCUUUGUUACAACUCUCUUCUCAGGCCGAGACGUCGUCCUCGGCUGAGAACUGGGCUGGGAUCUAGAGCUUGGUCCAGAUCCACCACCCUGUUGCAGACGGUCAACCUGGGCCCGGAGAGAGUUUAUCUCCGCACUCUGAGCGGCCACCAUCUGCGCUAUGCGACUGAACAGAAGCAAAACCUUGCCCCCUACGUCCUUUCGUACCUUAUUAUCGGGAUCACCGAGAAACUCAACGAACUCCUCUUCCAUCCCAACCAGUUGUUUGUUGCGCACUACUGAACUGGUAAUCCGGGGAUCCGCAGCCAAAGCCGGCUGGGUGGCAGCUUUUCCGACCAAAAAGCCAUCCCCCUUCUCUCCACUCUGCAAGGAC